GAUGAACGCUAGCUACAGGCUUAACACAUGCAAGUCGCGGGACCGGCGCACGGGUGAGUAACGCGUAUCCAACCUGCACUUCACCACGGGAUAACCCGGCGACAGGCGGGAUAAUAGCGUAUGGAGGAGGAUGGGUAUGCGUCCGAUUAGCUUGACGGCGGGGUAACGGCGCACCGUGGCUACGAGCGGUAGGGGUUCUGAGAGGAAGGUCCCCCACACUGGAACUGAGACACGGUCCAGACUCCUACGGGAGGCAGCAGUGAGGAAUAUUGGUCAAUGGGCGUAAGCCUGAACCAGCCAAGUAGCGUGCAGGACGACGGCCUAUGGGUUGUAAACUGCUUUUAUGCGGGGAUAGGUACCGCAUGAAUAAGGACCGGCUAAUUCCGUGCCAGCAGCCGCGGUAAUUC
This 407-nucleotide ribosomal RNA is filed under the name uncultured bacterium. Its description in RNAcentral is "partial 16S ribosomal RNA". It matches the Rfam family "Bacterial small subunit ribosomal RNA", at positions 28 to 526 of the family's 1533-position model. The record is from RNAcentral.